RNAcentral lists this ribosomal RNA (492 nucleotides) under uncultured bacterium. RNAcentral describes it as "partial 16S ribosomal RNA". It matches the Rfam family "Bacterial small subunit ribosomal RNA", at positions 30 to 507 of the family's 1533-position model. The record is from RNAcentral.
AUUGAACGCUGGCGGCAUGCUUUACACAUGCAAGUCGAACGGUAACAGGCCUUCGGGUGCUGACGACUGGCGAACGGGUGAGUAAUGCAUCGGAACGUGCCCAGAGGUGGGGGAUAACGCAGCGAAAGCUGUGCUAAUACCGCAUGUGAUCUGAGGAUGAAAGCGGGGGACCAGGCAGCAAUGUUUGGCCUCGCGCCUUUGGAGCGGCCGAUGUCAGAUUAGGUAGUUGGUGGGGUAAAGGCCUACCAAGCCGACGAUCUGUAGCUGGUCUGAGAGGACGACCAGCCACACUGGGACUGAGACACGGCCCAGACUCCUACGGGAGGCAGCAGUGGGGAAUUUUGGACAAUGGGCGCAAGCCUGAUCCAGCAAUGCCGCGUGCGGGAAGAAGGCCUUCGGGUUGUAAACCGCUUUUGUACGGAACGAAAAGGCUCUGGCUAAUACCUGGGGCUGAUGACGGUACCGUAAGAAUAAGCACCGGCUAACUACGUG